AGAGUUUGAUCAUGGCUCAGGACGAACGCUGGCGGCGUGCUUAACACAUGCAAGUCGAACGAGACCCUCGCCUUCGGGUGGGGUGUUCUAGUGGCGAACGGGUGAGUAACACGUGGGCAACCUGCCCCCGGCUCUGGGAUAACUCCAAGAAAUUGGGGCUAAUACCGGAUGUGACCGCUGGCCGCAUGGUCUGGUGGUGGAAAGAUUUAUCGGCUGGGGAUGGGCCCGCGGCCUAUCAGCUUGUUGGUGGGGUAGUGGCCUACCAAGGCGACGACGGGUAGCCGGCCUGAGAGGGUGACCGGCCACACUGGGACUGAGACACGGCCCAGACUCCUACGGGAGGCAGCAGUGGGGAAUAUUGCGCAAUGGGCGAAAGCCUGACGCAGCGACGCCGCGUGGGGGAUGACGGCCUUCGGGUUGUAAACCUCUUUCAGCAGGGACGAAGCGAAAGUGACGGUACCUGCAGAAGAAGCACCGGCCAACUACGUGCCAGCAGCCGCGGUAAUACGUAGGGUGCAAGCGUUGUCCGGAAUUAUUGGGCGUAAAGAGCUCGUAGGCGGUUUGUUGCGUCGGCUGUGAAAUCCCGAGGCUCAACCUCGGGUCUGCAGUCGAUACGAGCAAACUAGAGUGUUGCAGGGGAGACUGGAAUUCCUGGUGUAGCGGUGAAAUGCGCAGAUAUCAGGAGGAACACCGGUGGCGAAGGCGGGUCUCUGGGCAACAACUGACGCUGAGGAGCGAAAGCGUGGGGAGCGAACAGGAUUAGAUACCCUAGUAGUCC
RNAcentral lists this ribosomal RNA (778 nucleotides) under uncultured bacterium. Its description in RNAcentral is "bacterial SSU rRNA". It matches the Rfam family "Bacterial small subunit ribosomal RNA", at positions 8 to 796 of the family's 1533-position model. The record is from RNAcentral.